Non-coding RNA from Klebsiella pneumoniae ISC21, 2903 nucleotides. NCBI's taxonomy places the organism in Bacteria, Pseudomonadati, Pseudomonadota, Gammaproteobacteria, Enterobacterales, Enterobacteriaceae. The record is from Rfam.
GGUUAAGCGACUAAGCGUACACGGUGGAUGCCCUGGCAGUCAGAGGCGAUGAAGGACGUGCUAAUCUGCGAAAAGCGUCGGUAAGGUGAUAUGAACCGUUAUAACCGGCGAUGUCCGAAUGGGGAAACCCAGUGCAAUUCGUUGCACUAUCGUUAACUGAAUACAUAGGUUAACGAGGCGAACCGGGGGAACUGAAACAUCUAAGUACCCCGAGGAAAAGAAAUCAACCGAGAUUCCCCCAGUAGCGGCGAGCGAACGGGGAGCAGCCCAGAGUCUGAAUCAGCUUGUGUGUUAGUGGAACGGUCUGGAAAGUCCGACGGUACAGGGUGAUAGUCCCGUACACCAAAAUGCACAGGCUGUGAACUCGAAGAGUAGGGCGGGACACGUGGUAUCCUGUCUGAAUAUGGGGGGACCAUCCUCCAAGGCUAAAUACUCCUGACUGACCGAUAGUGAACCAGUACCGUGAGGGAAAGGCGAAAAAGAACCCCGGCGAGGGGAGUGAAAAAGAACCUGAAACCGUGUACGUACAAGCAGUGGGAGCACCUUCGGGUGUGACUGCGUACCUUUUGUAUAAUGGGUCAGCGACUUAUAUUCUGUAGCAAGGUUAACCGUAUAGGGGAGCCGCAGGGAAACCGAGUCUUAACUGGGCGUUAAGUUGCAGGGUAUAGACCCGAAACCCGGUGAUCUAGCCAUGGGCAGGUUGAAGGUUGGGUAACACUAACUGGAGGACCGAACCGACUAAUGUUGAAAAAUUAGCGGAUGACUUGUGGCUGGGGGUGAAAGGCCAAUCAAACCGGGAGAUAGCUGGUUCUCCCCGAAAGCUAUUUAGGUAGCGCCUCGUGAAUUCAUCUUCGGGGGUAGAGCACUGUUUCGGCUAGGGGGUCAUCCCGACUUACCAACCCGAUGCAAACUACGAAUACCGAAGAAUGUUAUCACGGGAGACACACGGCGGGUGCUAACGUCCGUCGUGAAGAGGGAAACAACCCAGACCGCCAGCUAAGGUCCCAAAGUCAUGGUUAAGUGGGAAACGAUGUGGGAAGGCACAGACAGCCAGGAUGUUGGCUUAGAAGCAGCCAUCAUUUAAAGAAAGCGUAAUAGCUCACUGGUCGAGUCGGCCUGCGCGGAAGAUGUAACGGGGCUAAACCAUGCACCGAAGCUGCGGCAGCGACACUAUGUGUUGUUGGGUAGGGGAGCGUUCUGUAAGCCUGCGAAGGUGUGCUGUGAGGCAUGCUGGAGGUAUCAGAAGUGCGAAUGCUGACAUAAGUAACGAUAAAGCGGGUGAAAAGCCCGCUCGCCGGAAGACCAAGGGUUCCUGUCCAACGUUAAUCGGGGCAGGGUGAGUCGACCCCUAAGGCGAGGCCGAAAGGCGUAGUCGAUGGGAAACAGGUUAAUAUUCCUGUACUUGGUGUUACUGCGAAGGGGGGACGGAGAAGGCUAUGUUAGCCGGGCGACGGUUGUCCCGGUUUAAGCAUGUAGGCUGGUUGUCCAGGCAAAUCCGGAUAAUCAAGGCUGAGGUGUGAUGACGAGGCACUACGGUGCUGAAGUAACAAAUGCCCUGCUUCCAGGAAAAGCCUCUAAGCAUCAGGUAACAUCAAAUCGUACCCCAAACCGACACAGGUGGUCAGGUAGAGAAUACCAAGGCGCUUGAGAGAACUCGGGUGAAGGAACUAGGCAAAAUGGUGCCGUAACUUCGGGAGAAGGCACGCUGGUGUGUAGGUGAAGUCCCUGCGGAUGGAGCUGAGACCAGUCGAAGAUACCAGCUGGCUGCAACUGUUUAUUAAAAACACAGCACUGUGCAAACACGAAAGUGGACGUAUACGGUGUGACGCCUGCCCGGUGCCGGAAGGUUAAUUGAUGGGGUUAUCCGUAAGGAGAAGCUCUUGAUCGAAGCCCCGGUAAACGGCGGCCGUAACUAUAACGGUCCUAAGGUAGCGAAAUUCCUUGUCGGGUAAGUUCCGACCUGCACGAAUGGCGUAAUGAUGGCCAGGCUGUCUCCACCCGAGACUCAGUGAAAUUGAACUCGCUGUGAAGAUGCAGUGUACCCGCGGCAAGACGGAAAGACCCCGUGAACCUUUACUAUAGCUUGACACUGAACAUUGAGCCUUGAUGUGUAGGAUAGGUGGGAGGCUUUGAAGCGUGGACGCCAGUCUGCGUGGAGCCAACCUUGAAAUACCACCCUUUAAUGUUUGAUGUUCUAACGUUGGCCCCUUACCGGGGUUGCGGACAGUGUCUGGUGGGUAGUUUGACUGGGGCGGUCUCCUCCCAAAGCGUAACGGAGGAGCACGAAGGUUAGCUAAUCCUGGUCGGACAUCAGGAGGUUAGUGCAAUGGCAUAAGCUAGCUUGACUGCGAGCGUGACGGCGCGAGCAGGUGCGAAAGCAGGUCAUAGUGAUCCGGUGGUUCUGAAUGGAAGGGCCAUCGCUCAACGGAUAAAAGGUACUCCGGGGAUAACAGGCUGAUACCGCCCAAGAGUUCAUAUCGACGGCGGUGUUUGGCACCUCGAUGUCGGCUCAUCACAUCCUGGGGCUGAAGUAGGUCCCAAGGGUAUGGCUGUUCGCCAUUUAAAGUGGUACGCGAGCUGGGUUUAGAACGUCGUGAGACAGUUCGGUCCCUAUCUGCCGUGGGCGCUGGAGAAUUGAGGGGGGCUGCUCCUAGUACGAGAGGACCGGAGUGGACGCAUCACUGGUGUUCGGGUUGUCAUGCCAAUGGCACUGCCCGGUAGCUAAAUGCGGAAGAGAUAAGUGCUGAAAGCAUCUAAGCACGAAACUUGCCCCGAGAUGAGUUCUCCCUGAGACUUUAAGUCUCCUGAAGGAACGUUGAAGACGACGACGUUGAUAGGCCGGGUGUGUAAGCGCAGCGAUGCGUUGAGCUAACCGGUACUAAUGAACCGUGAGGCUUAACCUU